Molecule: ribosomal RNA, 370 nt
Filed under: uncultured organism
Description: bacterial SSU rRNA
Rfam family: Bacterial small subunit ribosomal RNA
Source: RNAcentral
CGUAGGGUGCGAGCGUUAAUCGGAAUUACUGGGCGUAAAGCGUGCGCAGGCGGUUAUGUAAGACAGAUGUGAAAUCCCCGGGCUCAACCUGGGAACUGCAUUUGUGACUGCAUGGCUGGAGUACGGUAGAGGGGGAUGGAAUUCCGCGUGUAGCAGUGAAAUGCGUAGAUAUGCGGAGGAACACCGAUGGCGAAGGCAAUCCCCUGGACCUGUACUGACGCUCAUGCACGAAAGCGUGGGGAGCAAACAGGAGUAGAUACCCUGGUAGUCCACGCCCUAAACGAUGUCAACUGGUUGUUGGGAAUUAGUUUUCUCAGUAACGAAGCUAACGCGUGAAGUUGACCGCCUGGGGAGUACGGCCGCAAGGUUG